CAGCUAGCGGAAUGGUGCAUGUCAUAUCUCUGUGUGAACUACAACAGCACCUGCAAGCUUUCGCCGCGAAGUUUGAAGAGUCUGCAUCCGGACAAUCAGGAUUAUUUGCGAGAGCACCGAUAGCCACCGGUGUGAAUUCUGAAGGACUACGACUACUACCAACGAUGUAUGAACGAGCUCAACAAUGGGAAGAAAGACUGCACGGCAGACGACAAGGGUUGUCUCUGCUUUUCCGGAGGGAAAUCAAAACAAUCGGCCGCGGCAGCCAAAUCGACCAUGCAGAAGGCAAUUACCUAGUUAGCUCGGAGCACCAAUCGGACAUGGUUAGCACCAGUCUGUUCGAGUCAAAUGCCAACUUGGUGAACCAGUUUGAUCCGGAACACGACGGUGCGGAUCUCUGACAUUUGGCCUACGGAUCGUGGAAGUCGCUUCGUUUCAUUGUGAUUCUGCCAGUGCUGAUUUGUUUCAUCUGCACCAUCCUGAGCAUUCUGAUCAUUUUCCAGAUCUACAACUAAUAUUUGCUGCAAGGCGAAUCCGCUAUCAAAUUGGUUUUAUUUGCCACGGCUUCUAAACCUGGUAGAGUGCCGGCAGGUGAUUUAGGAUGUCACGGAACGAAACCAGUGGGAAAGUUGAACACUGCUUGAGGUCAUUGGAUGCUCACCAGCUAGCGGAAUUGUGCAUGUCGUAUCUCUGUGUGAACUACAACAGCACCUGCAAGCUUUCGCCGCGAAGUUUGAAGAGUCUGCAUCCGGACAAUCAGGAUUAUUUGCGAGAGCACCGAUAGCCACCGGUGUGAAUUCUGAAGGACUACGACUACUACCAACGAUGUAUGAACGAGCUCAACAAUGGGAAGAAAGACUAGGCAGACGACAAGGGUUGUCUCUGCUUUUCCGGAGGGAAAUCAAAACAAUCGGCCGCGGCAGCCAAAUCGACCAUGCAGACGGCAAUUACCUAGUUAGCUCGGAGCACCAAUCGGACAUGGUUAGCACCAGUCUGUUCGAGUCAAAUGCCAACUCGGUGAACCAGUUCGAUCCGGAACACGACGGUGCGGAUCUCUGACAUUUGGCCUACGGAUCGUGGAAGUCGCUUCGUUUCAUUGUGAUUCUGCCAGUUUCAUCUGCACCAUCCUGAGCAUUCUGAUCAUUUUCCAGAUCUACAACUAAUAUUUGCUGCAAGGCAAAUCCGCUAUCAAAUUGGUUUUAUUUGCAACGGCUUCUAAACCUGGUAGAGUGCCGGCAGGUGAUUGAGGAUCUCACGAGGAUGUCACGGAACGAAUCCAGUGGGGAAGUUGAACACUGCUUGAGGUCAUUGGAUGCUCACCAGCUAGCGGAAUUGUGCAUGUCGUAUCUCUGUGUGAACUACAACAGCACCUGCAAGCUUUCGCCGCGAAGUUUGAAGAGUCUGCAUCCGGACAAUCAGGAUUAUUUGCGAGAGCACCGAUAGCCACCGGUGUGAAUUCUGAAGGACUACGACUACUACCAACGAUGUAUGAACGAGCUCAACAAUGGGAAGAAAAACUAGGCAGACGACAAGGGUUGUCUCUGCUUUUCCGGAGGGAAAUCAAAACAAUCGGCCGCGGCAGCCAA
This is a long non-coding RNA of Armigeres subalbatus, 1586 nucleotides long. RefSeq lists it as uncharacterized. The record is from RefSeq and is a predicted model, not a curated record. The transcript is spliced from 3 exons. Lineage: Eukaryota; Metazoa; Arthropoda; Insecta; Diptera; Culicidae.